UACGAAGGGGGCGAGCGUUGUUCGGAGUUACUGGGCGUAAAGGGCGCGUAGGCGGCGCUCCAAGUUAGGCGUGAAAGCCCCGGGCUCAACCUGGGAAUAGCGCUUAAGACUGGAGUGCUCGAGUGCGGAAGAGGUGAGUGGAAUUCCCAGUGUAGAGGUGAAAUUCGUAGAUAUUGGGAAGAACACCAGUGGCGAAGGCGGCUCACUGGCCCGGUACUGACGCUGAGGUGCGAAAGCGUGGGGAGCAAACAGG
RNAcentral lists this ribosomal RNA (253 nucleotides) under uncultured bacterium. Its description in RNAcentral is "partial 16S ribosomal RNA". It matches the Rfam family "Bacterial small subunit ribosomal RNA", at positions 524 to 776 of the family's 1533-position model. The record is from RNAcentral.